RNAcentral lists this ribosomal RNA (431 nucleotides) under uncultured bacterium. RNAcentral's name for it is "partial 16S ribosomal RNA". It matches the Rfam family "Bacterial small subunit ribosomal RNA", at positions 29 to 507 of the family's 1533-position model. The record is from RNAcentral.
AACGAACGCUGGCGGCAGGCUUAACACAUGCAAGUCGAGCGCACCGCAAGGUGAGCGGCAGACGGGUGAGUAACGCGUGGGAAUCUACACAACCCUACGGACUAACCCAGGGAAACUUGGACUAAUACCGUAUACGCCCUUUUGGGGGAUGAUUUCUCGGGGAUGGAUGAGCCCGCGUUAGAUUUGCUAGUGGGUGGGGUAAAGGCCUACCAAGGCGACGAUCCAUAGCUGGUCUGAGAGGAUGAUCAGCCACAUUGGGACUGAGACACGGCCCAAACUCCGACGGGAGGCAGCAGUGGGGAAUAUUGGACAAGGAGCGCAAGCCUGAUCCAGCCAUGCGGCGUGAGUGAUGAAGGCCUUAGGGUUGUACAGCUCUUUCAGUAGGGAAGAUAAUGACGGUACCUACAGAAGAAGCCCCGGCUAACUUCGUG